RNAcentral lists this ribosomal RNA (252 nucleotides) under uncultured bacterium. RNAcentral's name for it is "partial 16S ribosomal RNA". It matches the Rfam family "Bacterial small subunit ribosomal RNA", at positions 524 to 776 of the family's 1533-position model. The record is from RNAcentral.
UACGGAGGGUGCAAGCGUUGUCCGGAAUCACUGGGCGUAAAGGGCGCGUAGGCGGCUCAUGAAGGCUGUGGUGAAAGUCCGGGGCUCAACCUCGGAUCGGCCGUGGCGACUCGUGGGCUGGAGCACUGUAGAGGCGGGUGGAAUUCCGGGUGUAGCGGUGGAAUGCGUAGAGAUCCGGAAGAACACCAGUGGCGAAGGCGGCCCGCUGGGCAGUGGCUGACGCUGAGACGCGAAAGCGUGGGAGCGAACAGG